This 914-nucleotide ribosomal RNA is filed under the name uncultured bacterium. Its description in RNAcentral is "bacterial SSU rRNA". It matches the Rfam family "Bacterial small subunit ribosomal RNA", at positions 33 to 938 of the family's 1533-position model. The record is from RNAcentral.
ACGCUAGCUACAGGCUUAACACAUGCAAGUCGAGGGGAAACGGCAUUUAGUGCUUGCACCGAAUGGACGUCGACCGGCGCACGGGUGAGUAACGCGUAUCCAACCUUCCCAUAACUAAGGAAUAACCUGCCGAAAGGCAGACUAAUACCUUAUGUAAUCCUUUGAUGGCAUCAGAUAAGGAUAAAAGAUUUAUCGGUUAUGGAUGGGGAUGCGUCUGAUUAGCUUGUUGGCGGGGUAACGGCCCACCAAGGCAACGAUCAGUAGGGGUUCUGAGAGGAAGGUCCCCCACAUUGGAACUGAGACACGGUCCAAACUCCUGCGGGAGGCAGCAGUGAGGAAUAUUGGUCAAUGGACGGAAGUCUGAACCAGCCAAGUAGCGUGCAGGAUGACGGCCCUAUGGGUUGUAAACUGCUUUUGUAUGGGGAUAAAGUCAAUCACGUGUGAUUGUUUGCAGGUACCAUACGAAUAAGGACCGGCUAAUUCCGUGCCAGCAGCCGCGGUAAUACGGAAGGUUCGGGCGUUAUCCGGAUUUAUUGGGUUUAAAGGGAGCGUAGGCCGGAGAUUAAGUGUGUUGUGAAAUGUAGACGCUCAACGUCUGACUUGCAGCGCAUACUGGUUUCCUUGAGUACGCACAACGUUGGCGGAAUUCGUCGUGUAGCGGUGAAAUGCUUAGAUAUGACGAAGAACUCCGAUUGCGAAGGCAGCUGACGGGAGCGCAACUGACGCUGAAGCUCGAAGGUGCGGGUAUCGAACAGGAUUAGAUACCCUGGUAGUCCGCACAGUAAACGAUGGAUGCCCGCUGUUGGUACCUAGUAUCAGCGGCUAAGCGAAAGCAUUAAGCAUCCCACCUGGGGAGUACGCCGGCAACGGUGAAACUCAAAGGAAUUGACGGGGGCCCGCACAAGCGGAGGAAC